UGGGGUGCCCACUCCGCAAGUU
RNAcentral lists this microRNA (22 nucleotides) under Pongo abelii (Sumatran orangutan). RNAcentral's name for it is "Pab-Mir-4664_5p (mature (guide))". The record is from RNAcentral. Lineage: Eukaryota; Metazoa; Chordata; Mammalia; Primates; Hominidae. RNAcentral also lists the same sequence under 1 other name.